UACAGAGGUCUCAAGCGUUGUUCGGAUUCAUUGGGCGUAAAGGGUGCGUAGGCGGCGCGGUAAGUCGGAUGUGAAAUCUCGGGGCUUAACUCCGAAACUGCAUUCGAUACUGCCGUGCUUGAGGACUGGAGAGGAGACUGGAAUUUACGGUGUAGCGGUGAAAUGCGUAGAUAUCGUAAGGAAGACCAGUGGCGAAGGCGGGUCUCUGGACAGUUCCUGACGCUGAGGCACGAGGGCCAGGGGAGCAAACGGG
Molecule: ribosomal RNA, 253 nt
Filed under: uncultured bacterium
Lineage: Bacteria
Description: partial 16S ribosomal RNA
Rfam family: Bacterial small subunit ribosomal RNA
Source: RNAcentral